RNAcentral lists this ribosomal RNA (278 nucleotides) under uncultured bacterium. RNAcentral's name for it is "partial 16S ribosomal RNA". It matches the Rfam family "Bacterial small subunit ribosomal RNA", at positions 337 to 629 of the family's 1533-position model. The record is from RNAcentral.
CCCUACGGGGGGCAGCAGUGGGGAAUAUUGGACAAUGGGGGGAACCCUGAUCCAGCGACGCCGCGUGAGUGAAGAAGUAUUUCGGUAUGUAAAGCUCUAUCAGCAGGGAAGAAAGAAAUGACGGUACCUGACCAAGAAGCCCCGGCUAACUACGUGCCAGCAGCCGCGGUAAUACGUAGGGGGCAAGCGUUAUCCGGAUUUACUGGGUGUAAAGGGAGCGUAGACGGCAAUGCAAGGCUGGAGUGAAAGGCGGGGGCCCAACCCCCGGACUGCUCUGG